This 468-nucleotide ribosomal RNA is filed under the name uncultured bacterium. RNAcentral's name for it is "partial 16S ribosomal RNA". It matches the Rfam family "Bacterial small subunit ribosomal RNA", at positions 28 to 507 of the family's 1533-position model. The record is from RNAcentral.
GACGAACGCUGGCGGCGUGCUUAACACAUGCAAGUCGAACGGAAAGGCCCUGCUUUUGUGGGGUGCUCGAGUGGCGAACGUGUGAGUAACACGUGAGUAACCUGCCCUUGACUUUGGGAUAACUUCAGGAAACUGGGGCUAAUACCGGAUAGGAGCUCCUGCUGCAUGGUGGUGGUUGGAAAGUUUCGGCGGUUGGGGAUGGACUCGCGGCUUAUCAGCUUGUUGGUGGGGUAGUUGCUUACCAAGGCUUUGACGGGUAGCCGGCCUGAGAGGGUGACCAGGCACAUUGGGACUGAGAUACGGCCCAGAGUCCUACGGGAGGCAGCAGUGGGGAAUAUGGCACAAUGGGCGGAAGCCUGAUGAAGCAACGCCGCGUGCGGGAUGACGGCCUUCGGGUUGUAAACCGCUUUAGCCUGUGACGAAGCGUGAGUGACGGUAAUGGGUAAAGAAGCACCGGCUAACUACGUG